This 910-nucleotide long non-coding RNA is filed under the name Ananas comosus (pineapple). RNAcentral describes it as "long non-coding RNA (ACOM_LNC002802)". The record is from RNAcentral. Lineage: Eukaryota; Viridiplantae; Streptophyta; Magnoliopsida; Poales; Bromeliaceae.
AAUUACCGUUGACUGACUUAAAUCAAAUAAAUUAAAAAAUUAGAUAGUAAAAUCAAAAUUUGAAAGGUUUGGUACGUAGCCAAAGUAAAAUAACUUGUAAGUUGAGGUAGCUCUACACGUUUUUACCUUUAAUUAUUUUUGAAUGAAUGGUUUUAGAAAUACGCUAUAUAUAUAGAGAGAGAAUGAUAUUAUACUUUUAUGAAUAUAGAUUCCUUUAUAGUCAUAAGUUUUCGAUCGUUAGAUUUAUUCAUUUGAUCGUUUUCAUUCGUUAGAUUACACUAUUUAACCAACCAUCCACUCACCCUUAGAGAGGAACCAUUAUAUAUCAUUCUAACCGGGGACUAAAAUUUAUAAGUAUAAAGAGAUUUAUGUAUACUUCAGUAGUCCUAACAUGUAAUAAUUAUUUUAAUUUAUUUCAAAUCAAUAUAAAUUUGUAUAUCAUAUUUAUUUAAAAAUUAUAAUAAAAAUUAUAUUUUAUAAUUUAUAUGUUAUAUUUUAUUAGAAAAUAUUUGCAUAUCUUAUACUGUUCUUUCAAAUUUUAAUUUUAAUGUAAAAUAGAUGGAUAGGAAUAUUAUUUUUUAACAGAUUGAAUCUAAUCGUUCACUUUUAUUUGAAAUAUUUUUUAAUAAAUUGAUCAUAACCGUUUGUAAAAUUGGAUAUAUAGAUAGAUAGAAAUUCUAUUUAAUUUUUAACAAAUUGAUCAUAACUAUUCGUUUUUAUUUGAAAUAUUUGUUUAGGAAAUUGAUUAUAAACGUUCGUAGGAAAUAUUCUUUUACUAUUUUUUUGAUUCCAUCUGUUAUUAUAAGAAUUUCUAUAUAUUUAUAUAUAUAUAUAGUAUAGAUAUAGAUAUGAAUAAUUUUAAGAUAAAUUAUAGGGUUGAGAUGACACUAAUCUCCUAAGAUUUAAUAUU